CGGUGAGUAACGCGUAGGUAUCUGUCCAUGGGUGGGGGAUAACAGUGGGAAACUGCUGCUAAUACCGCAUGACACCUAAGGGUCAAAGGCGCAAGUCGCCUGUGGAGGAGCCUGCGUACGAUUAGCUAGUUGGUGAGGUAACGGCUCACCAAGGCUUUGAUCGGUAGCCGGUCUGAGAGGAUGGCCGGCCACACUGGAACUGAGACACGGUCCAGACUCCUACGGGAGGCAGCAGUGGGGAAUAUUGCGCAAUGGGCGAAAGCCUGACGCAGCGACGCCGCGUGGGGGAUGAAGCUUCUCGGAGUGUAAACCCCUUUCGACCCGGACGAAUGACCCGCAAGGGUUUGACGGUACGGGUAUAAGAAGCCCCGGCUAACUACGUGCCAGCAGCCGCGGUGAUACGAGGGGGGCAAGCGUUGUUCGGAAUUAUUGGGCGUAAAGGGCGCGUAGGCGGUGCGGUAAGUCACCUGUGAAAUCUCCGGGCUUAACUCGGAGCCUGCAGGCGAAACUGCCGUGCUGGAGUAUGGGAGAGGUGCGUGGAAUCCCCGGUGUAGCGGUGAAAUGCGUAGAUAUCGGGAGGAACACCUGUGGCGAAAGCGGCGCACUGGACCAUAACUGACGCUGAGGCGCGAAAGCUAGGGGAGCAAACAGGAUUAGAUACCCUGGUAGUCCUAGCCCUAAACGAUGGAUGCUUGGUGUGGCCGGUACCCAAUCCGGCUGUGCCGAAGCUAACGCGAUAAGCAUCCCGCCUGGGGAGUACGGUCGCAAGGCUGAAACUCAAAUGAAUUGAC
RNAcentral lists this ribosomal RNA (791 nucleotides) under uncultured Nitrosovibrio sp. RNAcentral describes it as "bacterial SSU rRNA". It matches the Rfam family "Bacterial small subunit ribosomal RNA", at positions 100 to 914 of the family's 1533-position model. Lineage: Bacteria; Pseudomonadati; Pseudomonadota; Betaproteobacteria; Nitrosomonadales; Nitrosomonadaceae. The record is from RNAcentral.